GCUGGGCGUGGUGGCGUGCGCCUGUACUCCCAGCUACCUGGGAGGCUGAGGCAGAAGAAUCGCUUGAGCCCGGGAGGCGGGGCUGCAAUGAGCCGAGAUCGACUGCACUCCAGCCUGGGCGACAAAGUGAGACUCCGUCUCAA
Molecule: unclassified non-coding RNA, 143 nt
Organism: Macaca fascicularis (crab-eating macaque)
Lineage: Eukaryota; Metazoa; Chordata; Mammalia; Primates; Cercopithecidae
Rfam family: Metazoan signal recognition particle RNA
About the family: The signal recognition particle (SRP) is a universally conserved ribonucleoprotein. It is involved in the co-translational targeting of proteins to membranes.
Source: Ensembl